Molecule: long non-coding RNA, 4456 nt
Organism: Daktulosphaira vitifoliae (grape phylloxera)
Lineage: Eukaryota; Metazoa; Arthropoda; Insecta; Hemiptera; Phylloxeridae
Exons: 2
Source: RefSeq, a predicted model, not a curated record
GUCAAUCAUCUGAGGACCAACAAUGACAGGAUUUUUUACUCACAAGGAAAUAGUGUAUCCAUUGUCACACACUACACCUUUUAUUUUUAAAUUAUACUACCUUUAAAGCAAGGUUUAUAGGAUUCUGUAACCUCGUUAAACAAAUUUCAGCUUAACUUUUUAUAUAUUGUACUAACUGAUUUUAAUGUGUUUUUGUAAUUAAGUAAUCCAAGUUGUUACAUUUUAAAUACUGCGUGUUUAAAAUGCCAAAAUUUUCAAUAUUUAGAUUGGUCUCAUGGGACGUUUUAAACUGCUUAUUUACGUUUUAAGUAGUUUUUUUAACAUGAAUUUAACAGUCCUGCUAGUAACUAACAUAACAAAUGAAAAACAAACUGUUGUACUCCCAAUUUUUUUAUUUACGAUGUCAAUUAAUUUUUGUUAAAAACUGUCUUAUACAGAAAACACUAUUACCAAAAAAAUGUGUCAAACACAAAUUAAUGAAUAGUAAUUAUUACAUUUUUUUCUUAAUACAACUUAAAAUUACCACUAAAUAUUUUUAUUGUCUUAAUUUGCGCCUAAUAUUUUGUUUUAUUUCAUUUGGAUCAUCAGAAUUUUUUUGUAACUAUUUGUUAUAUGUAUUUUAAUUUUUUUCAGCUGAUUCACAGAUGCGACACAAUUUGUAUAAUAGAACAUACUAAUGGAAAUUCACGAAUCGUAGAAUUUCUAUUAUGAAAAGUCGUUUUACAGUUACUUAACUGCUUUGAUCUUCGUUUAAAAAUGCAUUAAUUAGUAGUCAAUAACUGUUAUAUAUAUAGUAGUAUAAUUAUGAUUAAGUAAAUUCUAGCAUUUUUUUUUCGUUUUUAUCGAUAUGGUCAAGCUUUUACAUACAGUAAAGUUUAUUAAAGCUAUCCAAUUAACAUAAUACUCCAUUAACACAGAUUGGGUUGAAAAUUGAAACAUUUGUUAAAGUGCUUAUAGUAUAACUAUACAGUAGUAAAACUACUGUAUAGUUAUACUAUAAGCAUUUUUAAUUUUUAAACAGUAUUAGAUACAUAAUGAUUAUUUUCAUUUAUUAUAAUAAAAUGCUAAUUUAUUUAUUUCAAACGUAAAUCUUAUUUUGCUUUAAAAUUUUAUUUAAAAAACUUAAAAAGGUUUAGUCCAAAAUUAUUUUAUUUUAAAUACAAAUACUCGUGUAUAGCACAUCAGUUUUAUCUAUAUUAUGUAAAAUUAUUAUGAGAAUAGCGCAAUGAGAUUUAUUUUUAGGUCUUUUUAAAUGGGUCCCAUUUAACCGGUUUUAUAGAAAUGUUAAUUAAAAAAACUUGGCAAUUAUCUUUUCAUCUGACAAACUAUUUAUGAGUAUUAAAUUGGAUUUAAUCAGGAAUAGGUUUCUUCUUAUGAAAAUAUUUAAAGACUUUACAACUACUUCGGUAUAUGGUAAAAAAAAAAAUUUCAAAGAAAUUCAUUUUGAUACUCCAAUUACCCCUUUAAUACUCUAUUUUCCAAUUAAUUUUAAAAGUAUUUUAUACACUGCUAUAUAUGAAACAUGUACAUUAAGGUUUUACAAUAAUAAGAUUUAUCAUCUAAUAAAAAAAAACUAUUUUUGAAAAAAUUGUUACCUCAAGGUCAGUGUAAAGUCUUCAUUUUAUUUUCUAUAUACCUGUUAAUCUCCUAAUUACUUCUCUGUUCAUAAGAAAUAAGCUUUAAUCUGACUUAAAAAAAUGUUUUUAUAUUAUAAAAAUAAAGAAUAUUAUAAAUUACAUAAGUUUUACUUAAGAUUUUGAAACAGUUUUACUACAUAAUGAAGUAAUCUGUUAAAACUUAUUAUAUAUUAUAAUAACUUAAAAUAAUAAGCUUACUUAAAAAAUAUAAUUUGCUUUUUAUUCAAUAUUGUAUAUUCUAUACAAAAAUUAAAUAAUCAGUGUGUUGUGGAUGUAAGUGAUAGUUCGUUAAAAUAGUUUUGUUUAAAGUAACAUAUUCAUAAUUUCAAUUUAUUUUUGUAUUAUGUUUUUUAAAUGAAGUUUGAUCAGAACUUUCUGUGAUAAGAUAAUUAAAUGGUAAUAAAAAUUGCAUGCUUCUACUUUCCUUAAUUCAUGUUUCAAAAAAAAAAGUUGGAAGGUCUAAUGAGUUUGAUCUUUUAAAAGAGAAACUUAAGUCUUUACAUUUAUUUAGUAGGUAUAUUAUGUUUGUUUUUAUUAUCGUGUGAGUUUAAUUAAACAUUUUUAAUUAUUUAAAAUUUCAAUAUCAAGUUGAAUACAGCAAACUAGGUGUUUUAUUAUUAAUACUUUUAAAAUUUAUUGUUCCUCUUGAUUUGUUGACUGUUUUUAAAUUUAAACUCUCUAAUCGAAUUAAAAAAAUCUUAAUUUCAGAUUUGUUAUAAUCUAAUCUACUUAGAAAAAACCUCAAGUUUUUAUCUUUAACUCUUAUUACUCUUAUUUAUUGACAUGUAUUGGAAACGUAAGACAUACAAAAAAGUGACUAGAUAGUUGUAAUGAAGUGUUGUGUUGCCUUAUAAUUAAGUUUCAGUCAUUUUUAACAACGUAAAUCGCAACUAUUUGUUAACGUUAGUGUGUACUUAAAUAAAUGACCUCAAAAUUUCGCUUUUAGAAUAUUUCUACCUGGAAGUUAUUAAUUAUUUUAGCCUAUGGAUGAUAAAAUAAUAUUUAUAUUUAAUUUACCUGACCUUCAUGAAAAAUAUUUCCUGAGAAUAACUAAAUUUUAGAAAAUGUAUUUUUCAAAUUAUUCCAAUGACGUGAACUGACUUCUGAAAUUUCAUUUCCAUUUGUAUCUUUCAUUGCUUUUAUACAUCAUCUUCAUUUUUAUUAUAUAUAUUUAGGAUCUUUAGGCGGUAUUAGACAGUUUAGUGUUGCCAGCUCAAAUAAAAAAAGGUUAACAUUAAAUAAUCACUUAUAAGCGUCAUUUACUGUCUCUUCAAAAGUUAUAAUCUGACAACGGUUUAUAAAUAAAUGUAUGUUUGGUUUCUCAACCAACAUGUAGUUUAAAAAUAUCGAUUGUCCAAAGAAAUCAUGCCCGGCGUCGACCAGAGAGCUGCUCUGAACCCGGAAACAUCAAAAACUCAGGUAUGUCUUCGUCGUUGAGUCGAUUGUUCAUAUAAAUUAAUAGCUAAUGCACUGUAACAAUAUAGCGCGAACGUAACUAUCAAAGUAAAAAAUGUGUAAGUAUUGUUCUGGCUUACGUUGAUAAGUAUAUUUAUGCCGCCUUUACAAACAUAAAUAACGUGUUGUACUAUUCGCCCAUAUAUAUUUGAUCAUCCUUAUUUAAAUGAAAUGAAUUGUAUAUUGAAAUUGGUAUGUUGGCGCGGACUUAUUAAAAUUUCAGACGAUGAAAUAUAUAUUUAUAUUAAUCUAUUGACCUAAUAUUCGUAAAACGAAUAUUAAGUUAAAAUUUUUAAAAAUCCGUCUAAUGACAAUCAAAAUAAACGUCAAACUUCUGAUUUAUAAAUUAUUAGUUAAUAUUGAUUCAGAACUGGAUAAGAAUUCAAGACAAGAGUUAGAUAUUUUUAUUCUCGUCCUACAUCUUAUUUCAUUUAGUAACUAAAAGCUAUUUGGGGGUUCAUUAACAAUGAUCGAAAAAAUGUUAUUAAUAACUAAAAUAGUUCUAUGAUGUUGACCUAAUAAACGUAAACUUUUCUAAACGAUCGAAAAUUACCAAAAGAAAAAUUUUGUUUCUUAAAUUAUUUUGAUGUUUCCUAAAAAUUAAUUUGAACUCUAAAUGACAAAUUUAGUGUGUUCUAUCGGUUCGGUUGAUAAAUUUAUUAUUAUUGUAUUUUGUCGACUAUAUGUGACAUAAAGCAUAUAUAUUUUAUGUUAGUUUUCUGAAUUUGUAUAAGAAAUAAGUCACGCGACGCAGUGUAUUCCUUUAUAUUAUAUUAAGACUCUUAAUAUUUAGGUCGUAACCGUUUACUUUAAAAUAAAUUCUGCGACAUGGAGUUAUGGAUAAAUAAUUCAAAUACAAAUAUUUUUGAAGGAUUCAUAUAUUUAUCAGUUAAAUUUGUAUUCAUUUGUAUUUACUAUAUUUUUAGAAACGUUACUAUAAUGUGUUUUUGAUUUUACUUUACAGAUUCGACUAUGCUCCGUUUAUGGAUGAUCUCGAGUGUGUAGAUAAAAAAAUUAUCUUUGUGGAAAAUUUCACGGUUGAAAUGUUUGAAAGGAUAUUAAACGUGGUGUUUGGAAAUGAUUCAACGGAUGCUUCCUUAGUGACAAAUUUGUGACUAUUGAUUUUCGAAUCAUUACUCUAGCCUCUCGUUGCUUUAAAUCUAUCACUGCAGUAUGCUUUCAAUGCACCAUUACAAGGUGGGCAACGAUGGAGGUUGGUUCAGUACAUCUUGAAAGAAGACUUCAGAGUCGAGCAAUAUUAAUGAAAAUAGCUACAAUAAAUGAGCAACGUUUCUUUAUUUAUAUAAGACUUAUUUUAUAAUAUAUGAAAAGUUUAAGUAAAUAAACAAAAAUCGUUUAUCGUA